Molecule: ribosomal RNA, 435 nt
Filed under: Proasellus granadensis
Lineage: Eukaryota; Metazoa; Arthropoda; Malacostraca; Isopoda; Asellidae
Description: partial 16S ribosomal RNA
Rfam family: Bacterial large subunit ribosomal RNA
Source: RNAcentral
CUCUUGAAAUAUUUCAAGUAACCUCUGCCCUAUGAAUAGUUUAAAUGGCCGCAGUACUUUGACUGUGCAAAGGUAGCAUAAUCACUUGUCUUUUAAUUGGGGACUGGAAUGAAGGAGGCGACGAAAUUUAGGCUAUUUGGUUAUAAGAUAAAAUUAACAUAAAGGUCAAAAGGCUUUUAUAAACCAAAGGGACGAUAAGACCCUAUAAAACUUUACUAUACAAUAGAUUACCAAGGUAAGAUUUAAAUUAUAGUUUAACUGGGGCGGUUUGUAUAAAAACAAUAGUAAUGUUAAUAUUUUUAAUAGACCUAGAGAGCUCUAAUAGGAAAAGAACAAGUUACUUUAGGGAUAACAGCAUAAUUCUCCCAGAGAGUCCUAAUUGGCGGGAGAGCUUAUGACCUCGAUGUUGAAUUGGGAUAUCUAAUGUAAGUAGAA